This 45-nucleotide non-coding RNA is filed under the name Trichobilharzia regenti. Lineage: Eukaryota; Metazoa; Platyhelminthes; Trematoda; Strigeidida; Schistosomatidae. The record is from RNAcentral.
AUCCAGCUGACGAGUCCCAGACAGGAUGAAAUUUGCAACCUGGAU